CGUAACAAUCUCGCGCAUUAUGACAGAAAAGCCGAGAUGUCGUAAACCUCCAUUUUACGAUCAAACUGUCGUCAAACCGAGAAGCGCAGAGUAAAGAUCAGAUGUACAUGAUGUCGCUUCACAGUAUAUUCUAUGCAGCCAGAAGACGUACACCGAUCACUAGCUACAACGAAAUAGCGGAAAGAAAGAUGGCGACGAUUCAAUAAAAUGAUUCAAGAACGCUAUACAUGCAGAAUUGAGACAUAACGUGGAUAACAAGCCCGCGCCGUGCAAGAGUUGCGUAGCUGUGUGAAUUCGAAGUAGUGUGGGACAUUGAUGGUAUUUAGUUAAUUAUCUUUAAUCACAUUGAUAAAUCUAGGUGUUU
Corticium candelabrum is the source of this 364-nucleotide long non-coding RNA. RefSeq lists it as uncharacterized. The transcript has 3 exons. NCBI's taxonomy places the organism in Eukaryota, Metazoa, Porifera, Homoscleromorpha, Homosclerophorida, Plakinidae. The record is from RefSeq and is a predicted model, not a curated record.